Molecule: long non-coding RNA, 2617 nt
Filed under: Sus scrofa (pig)
Lineage: Eukaryota; Metazoa; Chordata; Mammalia; Artiodactyla; Suidae
Description: lncRNA (ENSSSCG00055016637.1)
Source: RNAcentral
GUAUAUAUUGUAACAGUAGUUCUUUUGAUUGCUGAGUAGUAUAUUCUGUUGUUUAAUCACCAGUUGGAGGACAUGUGAAUUAUUUUUAGAUUUUGGUAAUUAUGAAUAAAGUUGCUAUAAAAAAUGAGCAUAAAAGUUUUUUGUGUGAAUAUAGUUUACAUUUCUCUCUUACAUUUACAUACUUAGGAGUAGGAUUGCUGAGUCAUAGAGUAAGUGUAUGUUUCACUUUGCAAGAGACUGCUGGUGUUUUCUAGCAUUUGGCAUUCCACUAGUAAUGUAUGAGACUUCUAAUUACUCCACAUUCCUGCCAACAUUUGGACUUGUUAUGUUUUUUGAUUUAGUCAUUCUAAUAGAUACCUAAUGGUAUAUUAGUGAGGUUUACCUUUUCCAUAUUAAUAUUGUAACCUUUAUUGAUACCUUACUGUGUAUCAGAGAAGCUUCAGUAUUUAACUUAAUUUCAGUAAUUCAGUAUUUCAGUAUUUUCAUAUAUUAUGUAAUCCUCUGUGAAAGAUAAAAUGCAUCAAUUAAGGAAAUGAUUUUUAUUCAGGCUAAUGAAAUAGGGAUAACAUUAAUUAAUGAGGACUAUCCCAAAGUAAAGGAAGGGAAUCUACACUUUAAAAAAAAAAAAAGCAGGGGAGGAGGAGCAAGAUGGCAGAGGAGUAAGAGGUCGUGCUCACCUUCUCCCACAAACACAUAAAAAAAAAAAACACAUCUACAUGUAAAGCAACUCACACAGAACAUCAACUGAAUGCUGGCAGAAGAACGUAAACCUCCAAAAAGGGCAAGAAACUCAACAACUGGGUAGAACAAAAGAGGAAAGAGAGAGAGAGAAAAGGAAUCAGGAAGGGACUAGCAUUCCUGAGAGGGAGCUGUGAAGGAAAAAAGGAACCCACAUCCUGGGAAGACACCUGACAGAAAGAUCAGCCAAGACAGAGGGACCUAUAAGUCACUGAGAAAAGAACAGCAUUUGGACUGAGGAGGGCAAAGCAGAGUGAGAGCUGCACAGAUCAUCUGAACCACCAGCCCAGACACCAUAGCCUAAGAUGCUUGGGUGGGGCUGGGUGCUGAGACAUAGGCUCAGGAGGUCAGUCCCAGGGAGAGGACUGGGGUUGGCUGUGUGGAGACAGCUUAAGGGGCAAAGGAGCAGUGUGCCAUGGACUGUGGCAGUCGUCUCAGAGGCCAGAGGGAGGCAUGGCUUGCCACCACUGUGGGCCUGUGAGUAGGCUCCACCUGUGGCUGCAAUCACCCCAGGGGUUUGCAAAAUAGAAAAAAAAAAAAAAAAGAGGGCACUGCAAUCAAGCACCGUAUGCUGUUGCUCUCACUCCCCUGGGAACACACCCACCCUGCUCUGCUACUUCCAAAUGCUCUGGGUGGCACCCAGACACUUGGUCACAGUCCCUUUCCAAGACCCUACAACUAGGGGCAGCUGGUGCAGCACCUUCUGUGUGGGUUAGUGGGACAGAGUGCUUCUUGCAUGAUCUGCAGGUGGUGGAAGCAAACCACCACAGUUAUCAUUGAUUCCAAAGGUGGGUGUGACCCACUGCCACUGGGGAUACCUGAACAAAAAUCACUUGAAGCCCCAACCACCUCAGAGGGCACCACAGGGAAGGACAUUGUGACACACCACCUAUCAUUGCUCUUGCUCCCCUGGGAACACACCUGCCCUGCUGCUGCCACUGCCAAAUGCUCUGGACAGUGCCCAGACACUUGAUUACUGUCCUUUCUAAGGAACCUGCAACUAGGAGCACUUGUGCAGCACCUCGUGUGUGGACUAAGCAGGAUGAGGUGCUUUUUGCAUGGUCUACAGGAAGCUGGGGAAACCACUGUGGUUAUCUCUAGCUCCAGAGGUGGGAGUGGCCUGUCACCACUAGGAGUCCGUGAACAGGAACCACUUGCAUCCCCAAUCACCUCAAUGACACCAAAGAGGAGGAAAUUGUGACUAAACACCACCUGUUGGUGCUCUUGCACCCCUGGGAACACACCGGCCCUGCUGCUGCCAGUGCUGAAUGCUCCAGGCAGUACCCACAUGCCUGAUCUCUGUCAAUUCCCAGGAUCCUACAAAUAGGAGCUGCCCAUGCAGCACCUCCUGUGUUGGCUAGUGAGAUGGGGUGCUUCAUGCAUGACCUACAGGUGGUGGGGGCAAACCAUCACAGUUAUCACUGACUCAAGAGAUGGUCAUGGCCUGCUAGGGGUCCCUGAGCAGUCACCGCCUUCGGUUCCAAACACCUCAAAGGAGGGCAUUGCAAUCGAACACUAGCUAUUGUUGCUCUCAGUUCCUUGGGAACUCAUGCACCCUGCUGCUGCUACUGCCAAAUGCUCUGGCCAACUUGUAGAUCUGCCUAGAGCUCAUUACCACUUCCCAGGGCCCUGAAACAAGGAGUGGCCUGUGGCACCUUACUUCAGGUCCCUGCCUCUUUUGAGAGCACAGUGACCAGGCACUGACUGCUGGCUCUACCCAGCAUUACCUCUUUCUCCCUGAAAACACACUGAGCAUCCUGGGGAUAGCAUCCUACCCACACCGAAGGAAGAGACAGCAAAUAUUCAAACAACCACACCAAAAAUAAAUAGUAGUCUUCCAAAAAAUACAAAGGGCUGCAAAAGACUACAGUUUGGCUUC